RNAcentral lists this long non-coding RNA (6691 nucleotides) under Canis lupus familiaris (dog). RNAcentral's name for it is "lncRNA (ENSCAFG00000051042.1)". Lineage: Eukaryota; Metazoa; Chordata; Mammalia; Carnivora; Canidae. The record is from RNAcentral.
UUUUUUUUUUUUAUUUUAUUGUGUCUUGGUAGCUGCUCUCAAUGUGAAGACAUGUCUUCCUUCAACUGUAUAGCAUUUGUCUCCUCUCAUUUACUAUUCCUGCCUUUUGGAACGCAACUCAGUCAAUAUUGGACUUCUAAAUCCUUCAACAUGUAUUCAUCCAUCUUUUUGUGAUUUUUUCUUUUUUGCACGACAGGGCAUAUUUUUCAUUUUAAUAUACAGAUUCUAUUCCUUUAAAAAUUGUUCUGCAUAAAAAUCCAAACCCAGAAGCUAAAAUUAAUUUUUAGGGACCUCUCUUUAAGCACUCAUCUCCCUUGUGACAUUAUUAUAUAUGCUUUAAAAAUGUCUACACAUGAUUCUGAUUAGCUGCCAAAUAAUAACUCAAAAUCAUCUCCACAUUGCUUCACUGAAAUGUUGUAUUUAGUUUGGGGUACGUGAAUAUACAUUUUACUAUUAAAUACCAGAUAAAAUGGGAAGUUCUACGAACUUUGGAUAUCAGAGAGACAUUCUGUCCUGUGUGGCUCUAAUUUCUUAGCACAAUCUUUCCACUCACUAGUUUAAUCUUCUGGUUUGACAAAUUGCUUACUUUUCUCCCAUAAUUAAAAUUUUAUACUUUGAUGAUCAGUUUCUUCUUUCAUUUUAUAAGCUUAUUCUUAUUACUAUUGCUAGUAAAUGUUUUAUUUUACUGCCUUCCUUCCUCCCUCAAAGGAUAUUGCUUAUAUUUAUUUUAAAGUUUUCUAUUUUCCAGUGUGCUUGGGUGGUUCAGUCCUUGAGUCUGCCUUUGGCUCAGGCCAUGAUUUUAGGGUUCCUGGAUGGAGCCCUACAUCAGACUCCCUGAUCAGCAAAGGGUCUGCUUCUCUCUCUCUCCCUCUCCCUUGGCUUAUGCUCAUUCUCUGUCAAAUACAUAAAUAAAAUAUUUUUUAAAAGUAAAGUUUUCUAUUUCCCUAAAAUCUGCUCAUUGGGAGCUAUUUCCUAUUUUACUCUUUUGGUCUCUUUCAUGGUAGAGCUGUUUUCUCAAAAGAUAGGUGUUCUUAGAUGAUCUGUUCUUAUUUUCUAUUGAGGUUCUAAUUUGAAUAGUGCAUUUCUUCAACCAAAACAUGAAUUUUAUUUUGGCAUUCCUUGCAUAUACUCUUUGCUGUGAUUUAUUCAGUUCUGGUAUUUCUCUUAAUUCAAUUUUACCUAUUUGCUAUCUUAUAGGAAUUUCUCAUAAUUUCUGGUUUACUUUUAUUUCUGGUUUACUUUUAUUUCUGGUUUAUUUCAUAUGUAUAUGAAAUAUGUCUCAUAUAUAUGUCUCAUAUACACAUAUGAGACAGAGAAACUAAGUAUAUAUUUAGCUUUAUAAUUCUUUAAAACAUUUUUAUUAAGUACAUGAUAUUUUCAUUGUGUUUUUAAUUGUACAUGAAUUUGUAUGCAAUCUGCCAUUUUGGCCCAAUUUUCACCUAUUUUACAACCUGUUAGUAAAGUUGUAUAAUUUAAUAUAAAUUUUAUAUCUUUUCAUUAUACUAAUAUAUGGCUCUGACAUCCAUUUCCCACAGGUGAGGGGUUUUCCCCCCAUAUGAGGCAAUUCUCUAACCAGCUAGGUAUCCUUAUAAUUCAACUCAGUUCUGAUACUACCUUGAGAUAGUAUCAGAUCCCACAGGUUGAGGGCUCAGUUUUAUAAGACAGCCCUGGCCCUUUCACUUCAGAGGCCACUUGCAAGUUCCAGUUUUCAUCUGAGCUUUUGAUCAACCAGCUUUCUGGAGGUUCUAACAACCCUCUCCUUGGGUUUGAUUAAUUUGUUCAAGUGGCUCACAGAAUACCAAAACAUUUUACUUACUAGAUCAUGGGCUUAUUAUAAAAUGAUAUAACCCAGAACAGCCAGAAGGAAGAGAUGCACAGGGCAAGGUAUGGAGGAAGGAUGUAUGUAGAGCUUCCACACUCUUCCCAAGCACACCAUUCUCCCCAAACCUCCACAUGUUUACAAACCCAGAUGCUGUCCAAACCUGUUCUUUGGAACUCUUAUGAAGGAUUCGUCACUUAGGCAUGACUGAUUAAAUCACUGGCCCUUGGUGAACUCAAUCUCCAAUCCCACCCUGCUCCCUGGAGCUGGAAGAGAGGAGUGGUGGGACUAAAAGUUCCAACCUUCAAACCUCAGGGUUGGUUCCUUAGGCAACCAAUCCUCAGGUGCUUCCCCAGUUUACAACACUAACAUAACAAGAGAUAUCUUUAUUGCUCUCACUGUUUAGGAAAUUCCAAGGAUUUUAGGAGCUCUGUGCCAGGAAUGAGGAUGAAAAUCAAAUCAAUAUUUCUUAUAAUAUCACAACUAAUAAUAUUUUUUAAAUUUACAUCCUUAUUGAAAAUUUGGUGAUCUAAUGGGAAAAUUGUUGAAGUAUUAUUUUCAUUAGAAGGUGAUUUUUUUUUUAAUUUUUAUUUAUUUAUGAUAGUCACAGAGAGAGAGAGAGAGAGGCAGAGACACAGGCAGAGGGAGAAGCAGGCUCCAUGCACCGGGAGCCCGACGUGGGAUUCGAUCCCAGGUCUCCAGGAUCGCGCCCUGAGCCAAAGGCAGGCGCUAAACCGCUGCGCCACCCAGGGAUCCCUAGAAGGUGAUUUUUAAUCCAGAUAUAUUUUCUUAGUGAAAGAACUGGAUAUCAUUUGUAUCUCCAGAUUUAACAUAUAGAUGGAAUAUAUGAUAGAAGCCCAAGCCCUAAAUUCCUCAUUGGAUAAUCUGAAUGUCAAAUUAAAUGACAGUGAAAUUCUGCUAUGGUAUAAGAUCAUAUACAUGAAAGGUGUUACUUCAUUCUUUCUUAUUUAAUUAAAUCCCUUUGAGGGAAAGGAUGACUUUUAAUUUUUCAUAUGUAUCUACUGUCUACAUCAUGGUUGAAUUACUUGGAGGAUAUCAAAUAGUUAACAUUUUCCUGUGUCUGAUGCCUUUACCUACAAUGAUUCGCUGCUUAGAGUUCUCAAAUUCCUCCCCUCCAGACUCAUAGUCUUCAAGACCCACUUAAAUGCAUGGCUUCUUAUGGGACUAGUCCCCUACAGCUCAACCUUCAUCAACUCUGCAACCUGUAGGCUAGAUGGUGUCCCAUUCUGCAUGCCAUUUACUAGCCAGAGCAUAGCUCUAUCACUUCAUUUACUGCAUUGCCUGAGAAGUCUCCCACCUGUGCCUGUGAGCAUCUUGAAUUGCACAUCUUUGUAUCACUAGUGCCUAGUAAGUGCUAAACCUCAAAAACAUUCAUUUCUCUCCUAAACUAGUUUAUGAUCUUCUUGAGAGCAGGGACUGUGGGUGCCUUCCUUUUGUUUUCAUGGCACAUAAUAGUAAUAAUUGCAGCAUUUAUAGUGUUAUCACUCUUCUAAGUAGUAAUUGUAUCUAUUUUUUCUUCAUCUAUUCAUUACAACAAACCUGACAGGUGAUAUUACUCCAUACAUUUUAUUUUUUUACUUAAAUUCAAUUAGUGAAUAUAUAAUUCAUCAUUAGUUUCAGAUGUAGUGUUCAAUAAUUUAUCAAUUGUGUAUAACACCCAGGGCACAUCACAUGUGCCCUCCUUAACGCCCAUCACCCAAUUACCCCAUCCCACCACCCAUCUCCCCUCCAGCAAGCCUCAGUUUGUUUCCUAUUAUUCCAUACAUUUUAAAGAAAAAGAAAAAUGAAGGUACAGAGAGAUCAAGUAAACUCCCCAGGUCACACAGCUAGUCAGUGUCAAAACCAAUAUUGACACAAUAUUGUUCAGCUCCUAAGUAUAAUACUAUGCUUAAGCACAGGCUUGGUAAUACUGAUUCAAUGCAGAUGCAUCAGAAGAGUAAAAAGCACAAUGUGAAUUCUCAAGUAGACAUCAUGGUUUCUAAGCUACCUCUUUUUGUAUAUCCAGUCUAACAUUUAAUAUAAAAAGCUGUAUCUUUGUUCAUGUAAAAACAUGAACAAAGUAAAGUCAUGUAAUUUCUUCAAAGAUUUGCAGUGAUUUUCCUAAAAUAGCUACGGACUAUCACCAGAUGUUUUCAAUAAUUUAACUAUUAAUUUUAAGAAAGUGUUUGCAACAUGCUCUGGUUAUUGAGAAUACAUUUGACCAUAUCACUGUCUUUCUGAAUGAAUGUAAAUAAUCAGAUUUCGACAGGUAGUAUCUCAAGACAAAUUCAGUUUAUGCACUUCCAAUGGCUUUCUUAAAUUUUAGGGCAAAAUCAGCUUAUUCUUUGAAUGAAUAGCUAUACAUAAGCAAGCAGAGAUUAAGAUUCAAGCAUCGAUCAAUCUUGUACUCCUUGGAAGAAACCGCUUUUAUUUUAAUGCUAUAUAAAAAUGCAAAAUAUUUAAAUCUUGAAAAUUGAUCUUUUUAAAAAAACUCUACCACUAUGUAUUUGUGAUUCAUUUUUACAUAUUUUGUCAACGAUGUCUUUUUGAGAAUGACACAGGUAGAAAUGCAGGGAAAUGUCUUAUCUAGUCUGACAAAAAUUAUUUUGGAUAAACAUUUAAAAUAUCAAUUUAAAUAAAUGUUAAAUGAGCGUUUUCUUGCAUCAGAAAUAAACCAAUUAACUCAAUAAACCAAGACCUGCAAAAAUCACGCCCUACAACACACACACUCACACACAAAGUUAAAUAUACCCUUCUCGGCGUUCUAAGGUAUUUCAUUGCAGCCUUCCUAACUCCCUGUGCAUGGAAGUAAUAAUACUACAUAUCCCUAGUUUUAUUUCACUUCCUUUUUUUUUCUCUUCUCAAGCGCUGUCGUAAAAAUAAAUGAAUAUUGUUCCACUGUGCAUGCUUUUUACACUCCUCAUGAUGAGAAUGGAUUCGUGAUAACCCAUUUAUUUUCUUUUCUUCUAACAAUCUUUGCAGCAAGAAUGAGAUGCCUGAAUUUUAAUGCCUAAUAUGAUCUUUGUAAACCUAUAAACUUUUAAUAGACUUUAAACAUAAAGUGAGGGAGAGGAUAAAUAGCAAGGAAGUCUGUGGUUUGUCCCAGGAAAUCCUGAUUAAUAGCCUUCUGAUUGUGUCAGACCACCCUGAAUAUUUUCUGAAAACAAUUGGUUCAUUUUAUUGCCAAAUAAAUUGUAAUUAAUUAAAAAAAAUAAAUUGUAAUUGAACUUACCAACUUCUAACCAAAUAAUCUAAAUGAAGAGAAGGGACAGAAGAACACAUAUUUCUUUAUAUGAUAUAGCAUGUAGGAUACGUCUCAUUUUAUUUACUCUACCAUAUUCAUUCCUGCUAAUUUCAUGUGAUAAACACAACAGGUUUAAGAUGACAAAGUUUUUUAGUUUCUUUUUUUAGAUUUGUACUCUCUGUGAAUCUUUUUUAGAUCUCCAUCUUUAAUAUGAAGCCAGAAACAUCAACACUGUUUUUAAAAUCUCAAAGGCAAAAUAUUGACUAAUUUCAGUGGUAUGCAAGCACAGAAUUUAAAGCCUCCUUAGAAGGAAAAAAUCUCUUCUGUAAUAUCACCUUUAGUAAUAUUUAUUAUAUUAUUUGAAAUUUUGUCCUCUGGAAUUUUUAAAAGUAAAUUAUAAGCAUUAUGAUGUUUACAGGUCUGUAAAUAAGUUAGCCUUUCAAGGCCUGAAUGAAACGAAAAUGCAAGUGUGCUUUAUAAACAGAAAAAUUGUGGGCUUAGGCAUUGAGAAUGCAGAAAAGGUUCAAAUCAUAUAAAUUUGUUAAUUUCCUUUUACUGACUUCUUUUAAAAUACAAUGUGAGAUUUUUUUAUUACAUAAAAGAUAAGUAAGAACCUGAUCUCUUGGAGUGAUAAAAUACUAUAAAUGAUCCUUCUAGAAUUGCAUAUCCCUUUAAAUGGAGAGGAGAAGAAAACACUUAAAAAAAUUAGUUGGUAUUGCUACAAUAUACACAACCCCCCGAGCUUUGCCUUUUAAAUCAGCAUUCUGCUGUUAAAUAAUAAAAGAAAAGUCCCAUUAUUUUCCCAGCUUCACUUUGCUUAAAGUGAUUGAUGUAGAAUUUUACUGCCAUCCAAUGGCAGCUGCCUAAUAUAGCUCAAGUAAAUGUCUAAAGCUUUUUGAUCAAAUUGCAGUCUAGGGAAUUUAACUUAUGUAGUACACUCAGAACUUACAUCAAUACAUCUCUGUUUGUUACACAGUGAGAAAGAAAUAUGACUACAGUUUCAAUUUAUUGUGCGUUCUUCAAAUUCAAUUUAACAGUGAAUUACUAAUAUUGCUGAACAUAAUUACCUAAAUGAAUAAAUCAACCUAGGCUACUCACUAGAGAGAACAUUAGAGCAUAAUAUUAAUUUUUACAUGCACCUCAUCAUAUUAGUUUAAAAGGUUUCUUUUUACAACUAACAAUCUUUUCCUACCAGGCAAAAUGGCCUUUAUUAAAAGACUGUUCUCAGCUUUACUUCUGUUAUUUGGAAGUCAUUUGAAUCUUUUUAGCUGCUACUGUAUAUCAUAUAAUUUCUGAUUAACAUCAAAUCACAUACUGUUUUAAUUAUAAUCUUCAUUCCUAAAUGAUUGAGUAUUUAGAUCAUUUCUCAAAAAGGCAAAAUAAAAAUUAUGUCUGAUUGAUAUGAAUGAGUUUGUGCUUUAAAUAUUCAAGCUUAGUUAUUUAAAAUUCCCAAUUUGAGGUAGAAGAGUUGAUGGAUAAUAAACCAAUUUUCUUUUUCAUUAACAUUAACUAAAAUAUAAUAUGUUUAAUAUUAUAGGUAAAUUGCUAUUAGCUGCGGUAUUAUUGAAAUAAAACUUCACAAAAACAUAUUGUUUGGUUUAUUUAUAUAUAAAUGGCACUUUGCUAAA